UGCUCUGAAAAGCCAUCUUUGCAUUGUUCCCGUGUCCGGCUCCCCGUUCGCCGCAACCACCUCCGCCGCGCGCCUCCUCCGCCACCGCGGACUCAGGCAGCUUUCUCGCCAGAGUCCUCGAACUCUUGCUUUCUUUUUAAUCCGCUGCAUCGGAUCACCGGCGUGCCCCAUCAUGUCAGACGCGGCCGUGGACACCAGCGCCGAGAUGACCACCAAGGACUUAAAGGAGAAGAAGGAAGUUGUGGAGGAGGCCGAGAAUGGAAGAGACGCGCCUGCUAAUGGGAACGCUGAGAAUGAGGAAAAUGGAGAGCAGGAGGCCGACCACGAGGUAGAUGAAGAAGAGGAAGGGGGCGGGGGAGGAAGAGGAGGAGGUGGAGGAAGGCGAUGGUGAGGAAGAGGACGGAGACGAAGACGAGGAGGCCGAGGCAGCUACGGGCAAACGGGCAGCUGAAGACGAUGAGGAUGACGAUGUCGACACCAAGAAGCAGAAGACCGAUGAGGAUGACUAGACAGCAAAAAAGGAAAAGUUAAACUUAACCAAAAAAAAAAGGCCACCGUGACCUAUUCACCCUCCACUUCCCGUCUCUGAAUCUAAACGUGGUCACCUUCGAGUAGAGAGUCCCGCCCGCCUGCCCAACGCGGGCAGCGCCACCCGCAGAUGACACACGCUCUUGGCCACCCAGCCAAAACCACAACGUGAAUUUGCAACAGGGGAGGAAAAAAGAACCAAAACUUCCAAGGCCCUGCUUUUUUUCUUAAAAGUACUUUAAAAAGGAAAAUUUGUUUGUAUUUUUUAUUUACAUUUUAUAUUUUUGUACAUAUUGUUAGGGGUCAGCCAUUUUUAAUGAUCUCGGAUGACCAAACCAGCCUUUGGAGCGUUCUCUGUUCUACUUCUGACUUUACUUGUGGUGUGACCAUGUUCAUUAUAAUCCCAAAGGAGAAAAAAAACCUUGUAAAAAAAACAAAAACAACAACAA
This is an RNA transcript of Odobenus rosmarus divergens (Pacific walrus), 977 nucleotides long. It is a transcript of the gene named prothymosin alpha-like, with no coding region annotated. The record is from RefSeq and is a predicted model, not a curated record. The transcript has a single exon. Lineage: Eukaryota; Metazoa; Chordata; Mammalia; Carnivora; Odobenidae.